Molecule: ribosomal RNA, 439 nt
Filed under: uncultured bacterium
Lineage: Bacteria
Description: partial 16S ribosomal RNA
Rfam family: Bacterial small subunit ribosomal RNA
Source: RNAcentral
CUACGGGCCGCUCCAGUGGGGAAUAUUGGACAAUGGGGGAAACCCUGAUCCAGCAAUACCGCGUGUGUGAAGAAGGCCUUAGGGUUGUAAAGCUCUUUCAGUAGCGAAGAUAAUGACGGUACCUACAGAAGAAGCCCCGGCUAAAUUCGUGCCAGCAGCCGCGGUAAUACGAAUGGGGCAAGCGUUGUUCGGAAUCACUGGGCUUAAAGCGUGCGUAGGCGGAAAUGUAAGUCAGGAGUGAAAGCCUGGGGCUUAACCCCAGAACUGCUCUUGAAACUACAUUUCUUGAAUCCGGUAGAGGUCAGGAGAAUUCCUAGUGUUGAGGUGAAAUUCGCAGAUAUUAGGAGGAAUACCAGUGGCGUAGGCGCCUGACUGGGCCGGUAUUGACGCUGAGGUACGAAAGCGUGGGGAGCAAACAGGAUUAGAUACCCUCGUAGUC